Molecule: ribosomal RNA, 205 nt
Filed under: uncultured bacterium
Lineage: Bacteria
Description: partial 16S ribosomal RNA
Rfam family: Bacterial small subunit ribosomal RNA
Source: RNAcentral
UACGUAGGUGGCAAGCGUUGUCCGGAUUUAUUGGGUUUAAAGGGUGCGUAGGCGGCUUGAUAAGUCAGUGGAUUGAAAGCCGAUCGCUUAACGAUCGAAUUGCCAUUGAUACUGCCAGGCUUGAGUACAGUUGAGGUAGGCGGAAUUGACAGUGUAGCGGUGAAAUGCAUAGAUAUUGUCAAGAACACCAAUUGCGAAAGGCAGC